This 439-nucleotide unclassified non-coding RNA is filed under the name plant metagenome. Its description in RNAcentral is "partial contains small subunit ribosomal RNA, internal transcribed spacer 1, and 5.8S ribosomal RNA". The record is from RNAcentral.
UUUCCGUAGGUGAACCUGCGGAAGGAUCAUUGCACACACGAUGCAGCAAACUAGCGAACUGUGUUUGUCCCCCACCUACCCCAAACACGAGGGGCCGCAUCUGGAGGUGCGGCUGUCGACGGCAAGGUCCCGACCUUCGGGUCCCCGCAGUGGUUCCCGCAAGCGGGCUGAUCAUGUCGCCGUCUGGGUGUCCCGCGCGGGCUCUCGCCUUGCCUUAGGGUUGGGCGACGCGGGCAUUCUCCUCCCUUCGAUGGCGUCGUCCCCUCCUCCGGGAGAGCGCCACGCCUCGAGGGCCGUUUACACCUUUGCACCAUCUACAACACCAGUGACUGAGGAUACCUGUGUCCCGGUUCCGCUGCUGCCCUCGGGUGGUGCGGGACUGGUCCAUAGGAACAAGAGUAAAUAAAAACAACUCUCAGCAACGGAUAUCUUGGCUCUU